CUUCGGGUUUUCAAUCCUAACCUCCUCCUCUAUGAUUCUUAGGAUUCUUCCAUUUCUCCACCCCCGCCCCCAUCUGCCUCUCCUCUUACCUCAAUUUCGUCCGUUUUCGAAACCUCUUAGUUUUUGCCUUUAUUAUUAACGUUACUGAUUUUAGGGCUUUACAUUUCUUAACUGAAAAUUAAGCUUAUUUGCGAUUGUAUAAAUAACGUAGUGCUUCAGUUUUGAUGGAGCACAGAUGACGUUUCUUUUCAAUUGUUGAUAGGAGGAGUACAAAGCUAUCAAGUGUUGAGCAGAAAUCAGAAGGACAUGGUGGUGCACAGACAAAGUUAAAAGCCCAACCUUUAAAUAAGAAGGUAA
This is a long non-coding RNA of Asparagus officinalis (garden asparagus), 357 nucleotides long. RefSeq lists it as uncharacterized. Lineage: Eukaryota; Viridiplantae; Streptophyta; Magnoliopsida; Asparagales; Asparagaceae. The record is from RefSeq and is a predicted model, not a curated record. The transcript has 3 exons.